Molecule: ribosomal RNA, 490 nt
Filed under: uncultured bacterium
Lineage: Bacteria
Description: partial 16S ribosomal RNA
Rfam family: Bacterial small subunit ribosomal RNA
Source: RNAcentral
AGUGAACGCUGGCGGUAGGCCUAACACAUGCAAGUCGAACGGCAGCACAGGAGAGCUUGCUCUCUGGGUGGCCAGUGGCGGACGGGUGAGGAAUACAUCGGAAUCUACCUUUUCGUGGGGGAUAACGUAGGGAAACUUACGCUAAUACCGCAUACGACCUUCGGGUGAAAGCAGGGGACCUUCGGGCCUUGCGCGGAUAGAUGAGCCGAUGUCGGAUUAGCUAGUUGGCGGGGUAAAGGCCCACCAAGGCGACGAUCCGUAGCUGGUCUGAGAGGAUGAUCAGCCACACUGGAACUGAGACACGGUCCAGACUCCUACGGGAGGCAGCAGUGGGGAAUAUUGGACAAUGGGCGCAAGCCUGAUCCAGCCAUACCGCGUGGGUGAAGAAGGCCUUCGGGUUGUAAAGCCCUUUUGUUGGGAAAGAAAAGCAGCCGGUUAAUACCCGGUUGUUCUGACGGUACCCAAAGAAUAAGCACCGGCUAACUUCGUG